Molecule: ribosomal RNA, 492 nt
Filed under: uncultured bacterium
Lineage: Bacteria
Description: partial 16S ribosomal RNA
Rfam family: Bacterial small subunit ribosomal RNA
Source: RNAcentral
AGUGAACGCUGGCGGUAGGCCUAACACAUGCAAGUCGAACGGCAGCACAGUAAGAGCUUGCUCUUAUGGGUGGCGAGUGGCGGACGGGUGAGGAAUACAUCGGAAUCUACUUUUUCGUGGGGGAUAACGUAGGGAAACUUACGCUAAUACCGCAUACGACCUACGGGUGAAAGCAGGGGAUCUUCGGACCUUGCGCGAUUGAAUGAGCCGAUGUCGGAUUAGCUAGUUGGCGGGGUAAAGGCCCACCAAGGCGACGAUCCGUAGCUGGUCUGAGAGGAUGAUCAGCCAUACUGGAACUGAGACACGGUCCAGACUCCUACGGGAGGCAGCAGUGGGGAAUAUUGGACAAUGGGCGCAAGCCUGAUCCAGCCAUACCGCGUGGGUGAAGAAGGCCUUCGGGUUGUAAAGCCCUUUUGUUGGGAAAGAAAAGCAGCAGGUUAAUACCCCGCUGUUCUGACGGUACCCAAAGAAUAAGCACCGGCUAACUUCGUG